GAUGAGGUCGCUUGUGUCUUGCGUCACAAUUUUACCCAGAAGUACUAGCCUUCUUUUAAGGUUUCUUGAAGCAAAACCUGUGGUAUAUUAUUCGAAAACUCUUUGUGUUUUUAAUUCGCGCAUCACGGAUAAAGGCUGCGACGUGAUUGGUUAUCAUUUCGGUUAAAUUUAUCAUUUUUCAGGAAAUUUGUAUUUCUCCUUCGCAGUUUCUCCGACUGAUCAAUCGACAACACUGUUGCAGACGAAUAAAAGUUGCCCUCGCAGAUUUACAAUAUCAAUAAAGAUAUACAUCAAAACAUAACAAUAAAUAUAAAAAUAUCAAUACAUAGAAAACAUAACAACUUUUAUAGUUAGCAAUCUGGCUUCGUAUACCCUGUAACACGUUACACUGAUCUGGCGAAAUUAUUGGGGGAGGGGAUUAGUAUACCGUUGAAGAGGCAAUUCGAUCGAGGCCAUGACCGUAGCUCAAGCAUUGGCGUUUUUAGUCCUUUAUGGCCAUGUAAACACUUUGGUAUUCAACUACAUAACCGAGUUACUUUUAUUUAUGAACUGUUCUCGAGUGCCGAGAACAACACUUCUCUUGAUUCUACAGUAACACUUCCAAAAGAGGUG
Paramuricea clavata is the source of this 612-nucleotide non-coding RNA. NCBI's taxonomy places the organism in Eukaryota, Metazoa, Cnidaria, Anthozoa, Malacalcyonacea, Plexauridae. The record is from the annotation of a GenBank genome assembly.